Long non-coding RNA from Seriola aureovittata, 573 nucleotides. RefSeq lists it as uncharacterized. The transcript has 2 exons. NCBI's taxonomy places the organism in Eukaryota, Metazoa, Chordata, Actinopteri, Carangiformes, Carangidae. The record is from RefSeq and is a predicted model, not a curated record.
GGCGUAGACCAGCUGGUUGAAGACCUCCAGGUGCUUGUACUCCUUGAAGCAGCAGAGACAUUGUCUGGAGACACAAACAGAAACGACGACAGUCAACAUGAAGCUAUAAGCGAAGUUUUAUCUGUCACGUGCCGAGGUUCAGUGGACAGCGAUCCCAGGAGGAGGUGAACUGAGGGUCAGACUCGGCAGCAGGGAAAACGAACACUGACUACAAAACUGUUAUGACAAAUAUUGCAUAUGGCGGGAAAUAUAUCGAUCAAUAUUAUUGAAUAUUGACCGAGUCAAAGUACAGGAUGAGUCGCUGCCAAUCUGCUCGUAUGUUCUACACUCAUUCACAAACGUGGAGCAGCAGACGCAGCCUAAGAUCUGCCUGCUGGCAGUUUGGACGGAUGAGUCAGCAGCUUCUGGGUGUUUGUGUCAGCGACUUCACGUCUCCUUAAAACUCUGAAUAUAAAAGAAAAAAGAAAAACAAACACUCCAGCUGGAGGAAGAAAAACAAACACCAAACUAAAAGGAGCGCCAUCAUUACUCAGAACAUUCAUAUUGUGUGACGGCCUCGACCGAGGAAAUAAA